RNAcentral lists this ribosomal RNA (460 nucleotides) under uncultured bacterium. RNAcentral describes it as "partial 16S ribosomal RNA". It matches the Rfam family "Bacterial small subunit ribosomal RNA", at positions 338 to 795 of the family's 1533-position model. The record is from RNAcentral.
CCUACGGGGCGCAGCAGUGAGGAAUAUUGGUCAAUGGACGAGAGUCUGAACCAGCCAAGUAGCGUGAAGGAUGACUGCCCUAUGGGUUGUAAACUUCUUUUAUAUGGGAAUAAACUGUUCCACGUGUGGGAUUUUGUAUGUACCAUAUGAAUAAGGCUCGGCUAACUCCGUGCCAGCAGCCGCGGUAAGACGGAGGAUCCGAACGUUAUCCGUAUUUUUUGGGUUUAAAGGGAGCGUAGGUGGAUUGUUAAGUCAGUUGUGACAGUUUGCGGCUCAACCGUAAAAUUGCAGUUGAAACUGGCAGUCUUGAGUACAGGAGAGGUAGGCGGAAUUCGUGGUGUAGCGGUGAAAUGCUUAGAUAUCACGAAGAACUCCGAUUGCGAAGGCAGCUCACUGGACUGCAACUGACACUGAGGCUCGAAAGUGUGGGUAUCAAACAGGAUUAGAUACCCGAGUAGUC